GGAGAAAGGUCUGCGGGAAGCAGGAGGCGCGGGCGGGGCUGGACGGGGAAACCUGACGGCGGGAGGAUGUUCCGUGUGUGCGUGCGUGUACGUGUGUGUGUGUACGUGUGUGUGUGUGUGUGUGUGUGUGUGUGUGUGUGUGUGUGUGUGUGAGAGAGAGAGAGAGAGAG
Molecule: non-coding RNA, 170 nt
Organism: Peromyscus maniculatus bairdii (prairie deer mouse)
Lineage: Eukaryota; Metazoa; Chordata; Mammalia; Rodentia; Cricetidae
Source: RefSeq, a predicted model, not a curated record